GGUUAAGCGACUAAGCGUACACGGUGGAUGCCCUGGCAGUCAGAGGCGAUGAAGGGCGUGCUAAUCUGCGAUAAGCGCCGGUAAGGUGAUAUGAACCGUUAUAACCGGCGAUACCCGAAUGGGGAAACCCAGUGUGAUUCGUCACACUAUCAUUAACUGAAUCCAUAGGUUAAUGAGGCGAACCGGGGGAACUGAAACAUCUAAGUACCCCGAGGAAAAGAAAUCAACCGAGAUUCCCCCAGUAGCGGCGAGCGAACGGGGAGGAGCCCAGAGCCUGAAUCAGCAUGUGUGUUAGUGGAAGCGUCUGGAAAGACGCGCGAUACAGGGUGACAGCCCCGUACACAAAAGCGUAUGUGCUGUGAGCUCGAUGAGUAGGGCGGGACACGUGGUAUCCUGUCUGAAUAUGGGGGGACCAUCCUCCAAGGCUAAAUACUCCUGACUGACCGAUAGUGAACCAGUACCGUGAGGGAAAGGCGAAAAGAACCCCGGCGAGGGGAGUGAAAAAGAACCUGAAACCGUGUACGUACAAGCAGUGGGAGCACAGGUUUACCUGUGUGACUGCGUACCUUUUGUAUAAUGGGUCAGCGACUUAUAUUCUGUAGCAAGGUUAACCGAAUAGGGGAGCCGGAGGGAAACCGAGUCUUAAUUGGGCGUUAAGUUGCAGGGUAUAGACCCGAAACCCGGUGAUCUAGCCAUGGGCAGGUUGAAGGUUGGGUAACACUAACUGGAGGACCGAACCGACUAAUGUUGAAAAAUUAGCGGAUGACCUGUGGCUGGGGGUGAAAGGCCAAUCAAACCGGGAGAUAGCUGGUUCUCCCCGAAAGCUAUUUAGGUAGCGCCUCGUGAAUUCAUCUCCGGGGGUAGAGCACUGUUUCGGCUAGGGGGUCAUCCCGACUUACCAACCCGAUGCAAACUGCGAAUACCGGAGAAUGUUAUCACGGGAGACACACGGCGGGUGCUAACGUCCGUCGUGAAGAGGGAAACAACCCAGACCGCCAGCUAAGGUCCCAAAGUCAUGGUUAAGUGGGAAACGAUGUGGGAAGGCCCAGACAGCCAGGAUGUUGGCUUAGAAGCAGCCAUCAUUUAAAGAAAGCGUAAUAGCUCACUGGUCGAGUCGGCCUGCGCGGAAGAUGUAACGGGGCUAAACCAUGCACCGAAGCUGCGGCAGCGACACUGUGUGUUGUUGGGUAGGGGAGCGUUCUGUAAGCCUGUGAAGGUGGCCUGUGAGGGUUGCUGGAGGUAUCAGAAGUGCGAAUGCUGACAUAAGUAACGAUAAAGCGGGUGAAAAGCCCGCUCGCCGGAAGACCAAGGGUUCCUGUCCAACGUUAAUCGGGGCAGGGUGAGUCGACCCCUAAGGCGAGGCCGAAAGGCGUAGUCGAUGGGAAACGGGUUAAUAUUCCCGUACUUGGUGUUACUGCGAAGGGGGGACGGAGAAGGCUAUGUUGGCCGGGCGACGGUUGUCCCGGUUUAAGCGUGUAGGUGUGUGUUCCAGGUAAAUCCGGUUCACUUUAACACUGAGGCGUGAUGACGAGGCACUACGGUGCUGAAGCAACAAAUGCCCUGCUUCCAGGAAAAGCCUCUAAGCAUCAGGUAACAUCAAAUCGUACCCCAAACCGACACAGGUGGUCAGGUAGAGAAUACCAAGGCGCUUGAGAGAACUCGGGUGAAGGAACUAGGCAAAAUGGUGCCGUAACUUCGGGAGAAGGCACGCUGACACGUAGGUGAAGUGAUUUACUCAUGGAGCUGAAGUCAGUCGAAGAUACCAGCUGGCUGCAACUGUUUAUUAAAAACACAGCACUGUGCAAACACGAAAGUGGACGUAUACGGUGUGACGCCUGCCCGGUGCCGGAAGGUUAAUUGAUGGGGUCAGCGCAAGCGAAGCUCCUGAUCGAAGCCCCGGUAAACGGCGGCCGUAACUAUAACGGUCCUAAGGUAGCGAAAUUCCUUGUCGGGUAAGUUCCGACCUGCACGAAUGGCGUAAUGAUGGCCAGGCUGUCUCCACCCGAGACUCAGUGAAAUUGAACUCGCUGUGAAGAUGCAGUGUACCCGCGGCAAGACGGAAAGACCCCGUGAACCUUUACUAUAGCUUGACACUGAACAUUGAGCCUUGAUGUGUAGGAUAGGUGGGAGGCUUUGAAGUGUGGACGCCAGUCUGCAUGGAGCCGACCUUGAAAUACCACCCUUUAAUGUUUGAUGUUCUAACGUGGACCCGUAAUCCGGGUUGCGGACAGUGUCUGGUGGGUAGUUUGACUGGGGCGGUCUCCUCCUAAAGAGUAACGGAGGAGCACGAAGGUUGGCUAAUCCUGGUCGGACAUCAGGAGGUUAGUGCAAUGGCAUAAGCCAGCUUGACUGCGAGCGUGACGGCGCGAGCAGGUGCGAAAGCAGGUCAUAGUGAUCCGGUGGUUCUGAAUGGAAGGGCCAUCGCUCAACGGAUAAAAGGUACUCCGGGGAUAACAGGCUGAUACCGCCCAAGAGUUCAUAUCGACGGCGGUGUUUGGCACCUCGAUGUCGGCUCAUCACAUCCUGGGGCUGAAGUAGGUCCCAAGGGUAUGGCUGUUCGCCAUUUAAAGUGGUACGCGAGCUGGGUUUAGAACGUCGUGAGACAGUUCGGUCCCUAUCUGCCGUGGGCGCUGGAGAACUGAGGGGGGCUGCUCCUAGUACGAGAGGACCGGAGUGGACGCAUCACUGGUGUUCGGGUUGUCAUGCCAAUGGCACUGCCCGGUAGCUAAAUGCGGAAGAGAUAAGUGCUGAAAGCAUCUAAGCACGAAACUUGCCCCGAGAUGAGUUCUCCCUGAGACUUAGAGUCUCCUGAAGGAACGUUGAAGACGACGACGUUGAUAGGCCGGGUGUGUAAGCGCAGCGAUGCGUUGAGCUAACCGGUACUAAUGAACCGUGAGGCUUAACCUU
RNAcentral lists this ribosomal RNA (2907 nucleotides) under Salmonella enterica subsp. enterica serovar Muenchen. RNAcentral's name for it is "23S ribosomal RNA". It matches the Rfam family "Bacterial large subunit ribosomal RNA". RNAcentral also lists the same sequence under 1 other name. The record is from RNAcentral. Lineage: Bacteria; Pseudomonadati; Pseudomonadota; Gammaproteobacteria; Enterobacterales; Enterobacteriaceae.